This 36266-nucleotide long non-coding RNA is filed under the name Malus domestica (apple). Its description in RNAcentral is "long non-coding RNA (MDOM_LNC003501)". Lineage: Eukaryota; Viridiplantae; Streptophyta; Magnoliopsida; Rosales; Rosaceae. The record is from RNAcentral.
UCAACACGUCUGUUAUGGCUUCAAAAUUCCACGGUCUACUCCAUCUUCCAGGUUGAAGUAGGAGAUUUUUCAGAAAUGAUUGUCUUGCCCAUUUCUCGAAUCAAAUCAUGCAUCUUUAGUUUGCCCCAUUCAAUAGUUAUAAGGCACCGUUCAUUGAGAACACUGAUUUCGUUUGUUGCAUAGAAGCCACAUUCAUCCAAUAUUUUUGUGACAUGAUCCUUCUCCAAACCAAGAAAGCAACACAAGAUAUAUCAAGGAAUAUAGUUUUUUGAUUAUAAUCUAACCCAUGAAAGCCUAUUUUGAGCUUUUCUAUAAUUUCUCCUUCAGGUAUUCUUUUUAAUUUCUCCAAAUAGCUUUGCCACUCUGUUAUGGGUCUACCAAAAAGAGUGGAGCCUAAAACUUUGAGUGCUAACGGCAAACCUCCACAGUAAGAAACUACCUUCUUUGAUAAUUCAAAAAUAUUCUUCUUUAGGGCAAUUAUUUUUCAAAUGUAUACCAACUGAAAAGCUCAAGAGCCUCCUCUUCAUUCAUUUCCUGGCUGGAUAUCUCAUAUUCACUCACUUUGAUUUAGCAAAUGUUGAUCUCUUGUUGUUAUGAUAAUUAUACUUCCUGGACCAAACCACUCACGAUCUCCAGCCUAUUGCACUUAGGGCUGGUUUGGUAUUGCUGUGCUUUGAAAAAAAGCUGCUGUGAGAAUAAGCGGCUGUUGCUGUGAGAAUAAGCGGUGUGAAAUAAAGCCAGUAGAGUGUUUGGUAAACUUUUUUGUGAAAGUGCUUUUGGAAAAAAAAGCAGGAUGAUAGUGUGUCUUUUCAUUAAAGGAGCACUGUAGCUCCGUAUGCUUUGAAAAAACUGGCUUUUUUUCAAAGCAACAAAUAGCAGCUUCAGCUUUUCCUUUGAUUUUCAGCUUAUUCUCACAGCAGCUUCCAAAAUAAGCCAUUUUUUUCAGUUUACCAAACACCCUCAGCUUUUUUUUCACAGUGACUUUUUUUAAAAUCACCCUCAAUCCCAAACGGGGCCUUAGUUGCUUCCACUUUAUCUACAUUAUCAAUAACAAUAAGUACUUUUCUACGUCGAAGAAGUCGUUUUAUUACACUGAUCCCUUCACCGACACUAUUUAUCAGGAAUAUGGCGGUUUGUUUCAACAUGUUUAGAAACAAGUUGUUUUUUGCAAAUAAACCAAACCAUAUCUUAUGUUCAGUGUCACUAACAUCUCCAAGGUGACAUUUAAACUGGAAGCAAUGAUGAAUUUUGUUAUAAAUGGCGUUGGCAGCAGUUGUUUUGCCCAAUCCACCCAUCCCCAAAUUCCAACCAUUUUAACAAUCAUUUUAAUCCACCACUAAAAAAUAUCAUUGAUAAUUGGUUGAACACGAGAGUCGAUUCCAACCGGGUACUUGGCCACCUGUAAUUCAUCCGUGCCAGGAAGCAAUUCCAGAAUAUUCUUCUCAACAAUUGUCUUAAUAACCUUUGCUUCAGGCCUGAAAACUCAAUUAGUAAGCAUUAACUCAAUGAAGGAUUUACUAUAAGUUUCACCUUCACUCAACAGUCAAUAUAAAGAAUUAACUAAAUGCAAAAAUAUAUAUAUAUAUAUAUAUACACACACAAACCAGUCCUUUUCCAUUGAGAGAUUCUACAAAUAAUUUUAAUUGAUUUGACAAAAUAAAAAUAAUUUCAUUUGAGAAACACCUUGUGGUCCUCAUUCCAUAACUUAUUUUUCAGGAUUCAUUCAAUCCAUAUAUGGUCAAAAGAGAGAAAAAAAAAAUUCAUUUUUUGAACAAAAAAUAUAAUUUACAUUAAGAGAAAGAGACUAAGCUUAAUCUAAAAAAAAACCAAAAUAAAAAAAAAAAAAGGUUUAUAAUUUGUAUAUGGAUUUGUUUUCAUUCCGAUUGGGCCUUCAAUUGCUUGAGUGGACCCAUCAGCCCAUCUGUUGGUUCCUUUUGUUUGGGCUUUUAUAUUUUAAACUGGCCUUUCUAAGAUUCAAAAGUAAUAUCCAAAGCUCCUAAAUCUAGCCUUCUUAGUUCUUUGUACCAAAAUUAUUAUGAUAAUUAAUUAAGUUAUAAAUCAAUGAUAUGUACAAAAAAAAAACAAAAUUAAACGUACCAAAAAAUUAAACGUAACAAAAAUUAAACGUACUAAAAUUAAACUAACCAAUCAAUCAUAUGUACAAAAAUCAAUGUACCAAAAAUAAAAAAAAAACGAACCAAUUCAUAAUAUGAAUUAAAUUAACGUAUGAAAACUAAUGAUAAGCAUACUAGUAAUGUAUGAAAUAAUUUCUCUCAAUAAAAUGUACACAUGAUAAUUGAAAAAAAAUAUAUAAACAUCCAACCAUUUUUGUUAUCUUGAAGAUAAGAUUAUAUUUUAAUUUUAGGAGAUCAAGAUAUUUAGUACGAAAAGAUAUUAAAAAUAGAUAACUGGAUAAAUAUUCUUAAUGACAAACCAUUGAUUAUCUCUUAAAACAGAGUGCCUCAACUUCUAAAAAUACUUAAAAAAAAAAAUUAGCAGAAAAUUAAUUUUAAACUGUGGCCCAAUGUACCUAAGCGUCUGAAUCGAGAACCUUAAAGACACAUAUGUUUGAUAAAAAAAAGCUUUAAAUGUUAGGGGUUUAAAUCUAGGGAGUCCUAACUAAAAGAAUGCGAUACUAUUUAUUUUAAACGAAAAAUUACAUUUUUACGUUAAAAAAAAUCAAACCUAAUACUAUUCAUUUUACCUUUAUUUUGUCCUUAUCGUCAAAACUAAAAAUUUUCAAGUAUUUUCAUUAGUUUUUCUUUUAAAUCUAAUCAAGCCUAUGUAAAAAUAUGUUUUAAAUCGAAGAUGUCCUACUAUUACUCAUUAUUUUCCUGUGUGCUAUUUGCAUAACAACCAUUCGUUAACAUGUUUCAAAAUGUGGAAAAGCCGAAAAUAGAUAGCAGCAUUACUAUUAAACUAGUCGAGUAUUGAAAGAAUCCCAAGUCCAAUGAAAAAUGGUUACCCGUUAUUAAGAUGGUGGCCAGACAAAUUUGCAGCUUGAGUAAGAGCCUCCCUCCACUGCUUUACCCUUUCUUUCUUAGCUUCACGUUCUUUGUCAUCUUUUUCUUCAAGGAUGCCAUCUUCGUGCUUCUGAAAUGCUCGGGCUAAACAACCUUCCUGCUUCCUCACAUGUGAAGGAUCGACAUGAUAGAAUAUUGGCAAGACCUGUUGCCCUAGCCUUUCUCUACAUUCCAUGAUCUUCACCAGCUCGUCAAGACACCAUCUUGAUUCCGCGUGACUCUUUGAGAAGACAAUGACCGAGAUUCUGGACCCUUCGAUUGCCCGCAACAGUUCGGGUUUUUAUUUCUCCCCCUCUUUUCAGAUUGUCCUCGUCAAUAAAGGCAUCGAAGCCCCUGCCUUGUAAUGCCGCGUGAAGGUGGCUCGUGAAGCCAUUGCGUGUAUCUUCACCUCUAAAACUCAAGAACACGUCGUAACUCCAGAGUUUUGAGGAGGAGGGUUCACGGGAUGUCAUGGUGUUGUAUUACUGUUUACGGCACUAGAGUGAUUCCAAUCAAGCGAAAAAAAUGGCAGUGGUUUUUGUGUUGCAACAGAGUAUAUAUAGAACUAAAGGGACACUUUUUGGUUCUUUCCAGGAAGCGUUCCGCUCCCAAUCUUUGGCUCUUUCCGGGAAGCAUCCGCCCCAAGUUUUGAAGAAAACCAAGGACGUUUCCAGUGGAAAACCACGAUGUUCGUGGCCACACGAUCUGAUCACUGGACGGCUACGAUUGAAGUGUCAGAAAAGAUGGGAGAAAAGCAGCUUUAAGAUGAAACCGCGUUCAACAAAGCAAAAGGACAUGAACUGAUGGGACUUGAGUCGAUGAUGGAAGGGUAGCAAGUGCCUUUUAGUUAGUGCGCUUGCAGAACUAAUUAUUACUGAGAUUCUACGAAGGGUAAGGGAAAGAGGCACGGAGGAGCUUAAAGUUCUAAAUUAGAGGGUCUAGUACAUUAUCUUCACGUACAAACUAAGACAACCAAGUUUGAAUUUAGAGGUUUUUUCACAUGGGAUUUUAUUCUCUUCUUUUUCUGAAUUGGUUUUCAUCUUCUACUUGUUUAGUGUUAGGGUUAAUUAGAUAUAAAAUCAUUAUACUAAUCGAUUUAGGUCUGUUGACUUCUAAUUCAAUUAAGCAAUUUCUUUUUUAUGGCCUAUAUUUAGGGAUGUGCUUCUACAAUUUGUUUCAGUACCAUCUGAUUCUAUGCCCGUAUGCAGGUUUUGGAAAUUAAAAUUUCAAAAUCAUGUAGUAAAUGGUUGAAUAAUUCGCAUCACCUAAUUGCGAUAUAGAAUGUAUACUGAAAUUGAAUUUAUGGUCCAAUUCACUAUUAGGUUUUAAUAGUUCACAGUCCUUUCAGUGUUAUCCUUGUAUUGGUAGUUUGGAUUGUAGAAACUAGAGAAAAAUCAUUAGGUUUUAAUAAAAGCAGGGUUAAAAAGGUGGGGGUGUCUAGAUAGAUGCGGUUCAAUUGAGAUUACAAAAGUGAUAUUUUAUCGUAUUUUUUAUAUUAUAUUUAUAUCACAUUUCUAAUAGAGAUGUGAUUCACAAGUAUUGGUAAGUCAUGUUUCUAUUAGAAAUGUGGUAUGAAAAAUGUGGUAAGUGUAGGUUACUCUUAAGAUUAAUGGAAGAAUAAUACUUUGCAUCCCCAUUAAGGGAUGCACAUAUUCUUACAUUUGCAAAUAACGUAUUUUGAGUAUAUAAACUUAAUGAUCUAAAUCAUUCAAUUUCUUAAUCAUCAAUUGAAGAUCACUCAUACAAAAAAUCAUUUGAAUCGAAAAUCGUUUAAUUAUCCAAAACAUAUCAACUAAAUGAAGGGUUCAUCAUGAAUAUGUUACUUGGUAUCUACACCGUUGAUUUGUACUAUCCAUACAUUUUAAUGACUAAAUGAUCUCCGAUUCAAAUGAUUUUCUGUAGCUGUGAUCUUUAAAUGAAGAUUAAGAAUUAAACAAUUUCGAUUAUAAAAUUUAUAUGAUAAAUAUAGAUUAUUUGCAUAAUAAAAAAUGAGCUCAUCCUUCAAAGUAUGAAUGCAAGUAUUAUACUUAUUGAAAUUGUCCAUGAGUUUAUUGUUGGCUAUCCCUCUCACCCAAAAAUGAGGGAGAGAUACAUUAUGUUGCAAAAAGUUUGAUAAUGCCUUUAUUAUUGGGUUUAGAUGAGAUAACGGGGUGCAAAGAGUAAACCUAGCUCUAAUUGGACUAAUAAAUGUUUAGAUGUUCUGAAAAUUUCAUUGUACUUAUCUAAAAUGCUAUCAUUUUCGUUACUUUUCUAUAUAUAGCACUAAAGGGACACUUGUUGGUUCUUUCCAGGAAGCGUUCCGCUCCCAUUCAGGUUUUUGAAGAAAACCAAGGACGUUUCCAGUGGAAAACCACAAUGUUCGUGGCCACACGAUCUGAUCACUGGACGGCUACGAUUGAACUGUCGGAAAAGAUGGGAGAAAAGCAGCUUUAAGAUGAAACCGCGUUCAACAAAGUAAAAGGACACGAACUGAUGGGACUUGAGUCAAUGACAGGAAGGGUAGCAUGUGCCUUUUACUUAGUGCGCUUGCAGAAUUAAUUAUUGCUGAGAUGGGUGAAAGAGUUGAAAAAAGUUUGGUAAACUUUUUUUUUUUAUAAAAGUGCUUUUAACAAAAAAUAAAAAAUAAAAACAGUAUUUUUGGUAAACUUUUAUAUAAAUUAUUGACAGUGGCGGAGUCAGAAUUUUGAAUGAGGAGGGGCCUUUCAUAUAUAUAUAUAUAUAUAUAUAUAUGUGUAUAUAUAUAUAUAUAUGUGUAUAUAUAUAUAUAUAUGAGUGUGUAAAAAGUUGAAUUCAUAACAUGUUGACAUUUGCAAUUUGUGUAAUCCUCACAAAACUGAAAAAAUUCUCUUAAAUUUAAUACUAAGAAGAAAAAAAUGUAAAAACCCAGACAACCAAGUAAGAGGUAGAUUGUGGAAGGCUUAAGAAAAUACAAAGAAGUAGAAAAAGAAGGAAAAGGGGCAGAAGUUUGCAAAUAAAGAAGGUGGGUUGCUUUAGAAAAUUAUAGGGUGUAUAUUACUGUUAGGUGAGAGAAUCGAACUAGAAGUGGGGUUGCUUUUUCCAUUUAAAACUGCACAUCUCUUUUAAAAACUCCCCUGCCAAACUUGUCGUUUUAUUAAACAGCUGAAAAGAUUUAAAAUCAAAACAGUUUAACGACGUCGUUUGAUUCAUCUUCUUUCAUGAGGUUCACACCUCAGCUAAAGUCAGGAUGGGCCUGGGACCUCGUCCCUUGGUGGCUCCGCCCCUGAUUGUUGAAUAUGUUAAAUGAUUAAAAAAUAUAUGAUAUUUAGUGUGAUAUAAUAAUUUUCAAAGACAACAAUGUAUGGGCAAAUAUUGUAAUUUUAUAAAAUAUGUGGGGGUAGACUUGCCAUUAGAAAAGUUCAUUAAAUGAGCACUGAUUACUAUAAAUUGAAAUUAAAAAAAAUACUUUUUUUAGAAGCAUGGUAGACUAUAAUUCUACUUUUCUAUGUUUUUCUGCUGUCAUUGACAACAGUAACAUUUUUUUUCCAAACACAUUUAAUACUCCAAUUUUUUAACAAGCUGUUUUUUUUUUAAAGCAUCACAAUCCUAAAUCAGCUCUAGCAUUACCCAAAAAUGCUACUUUUACCAUUUUUUAUAGGGUCCAUUUUUAUAUUAUAUUUAUACCACCUUUCAAAUAAAGACGGAUCCACAUGUAUUGAUCAGUUAUACAUAUAUUAAAGAAGUGAUACAAAUGUGAUAUGAAAAAUGUGGUAAGUAUAACGUUACUCUUUAGAUUAAUGAAGGGAUAAUACUUGCAUCCCCUUGAAGGAUGCACAUAUUCCUACAUUUGUAUAUCUUGAGUAUAUAAACUUAACGAUCGAAAUUAUUCAAUCUCUUAAUAAUUAUUUGAAGACCACUCAUACACAAAAAAAAAAAAAACCAAAAAUCAUUUAAUUAUCCAAACAUAUCAAAUAAAUAAACAAUUGACUAUGAAUAUAUUACUUAGUAUAAUUUGUACUAUAUAUUUUAGGAUUAAAUGUUAAAAUGGUCCAUGUGUUUUAGUCAUCGGGUCAAUUUAGUCCAUGUGUUUUCAAUUUGGCCAAUUUUGUCAUUGUGUUUAUCUCUGUUAGUCAAUUAAGGACAUUUUCAUCUAAUUUUUGUAAACAAAUUUAUAAAUUAUUGUAAACUUAUUUAUAAAAUUAUUUAUUUGAUUUAAAACAUUUAAAAAUGAAAUAAAUUAAAAAUUAAAAAACAAAUAUUCUCCUAACUCCCCGACCUCCUUCCUAACAUUACUUCCUCUCUUUUCCAUGUCACAACCUUAAUCGUUUUUCAGAUUGGAAGUUUUAUAUCUUAUAUGUGUUAUUUCUCAUUGAUUUUCAUUUUUUAUAAAUAGAAAGGAUAAUUAAAUCUCAUAUACUUUUUCUUACGAUUUUUUUAAAAAAGAUUGAAGGAAAUAUUCUUAAUUGGCUAACAUAGACAAACACGAUGACUAAAUUAGCCAAAAUAAAAAACACGAGGUCAAAAUUGAUCAUAUAACUAUAACACAAGAACUUUUAACAUUUAAGCCUAUAUUUUAAUGACUAAAUAAUCUCCUUAUCACUAAACGAAGUGAGAUACUCAAGUCAAGUCUCCUCUCAAAAGCAAAAGCACAUUCAGUCGACAAAGAUAGAAGUCAUCAUGUAACCCUUAAGCGACACGGUAAUAGAACGGUGGAAAAGCGGGAGCUGCUUUUUGAAGAAAAACAAGGUAGUUUCCAGUGAAAAACCAAGAAGCCACUCGUGGCCACACGAUCUGAAUACUGGAUGGCUAAGAUUGAAGAUUGGCCGAAAACAGCCUUUAGAGAAAAGAAGGCGUUCAACGGAAAAAGGACAAACUAUACCCCAACUGUGAGAUUGGGAGACAGAGAUACAAAACAGGAGAUCAAAUCUUCUACACCCAAAAUGUGUGUAGCUUCUCUAUGGCCCAAUAAGUGUCUAAUACAUAUUCAAUAUCUUAACUUUUCUUAAUUUUGUUGUCAUAAAUUUAAUAUAUGUCAAAUAUUUAUUGGGACCAGAGAGAGGCCACACCCAUUUUGGGUGCAAAAAAUUUGAUCUCACACAACAGAGUGUACGGCACAUGCUAGUAACGUCAUCGUUGAUCAAUGGGAAAACUGAGGUUCUACGAAGGGUAAGGGAAAAGAGGCACGGAGGAGGAAAGAAACUAGCACAAAAUUAGAGAGAGUCUAUUGCAUUAUCUUCACGUACAAACUAAGACAACCAAGUUUGAAUUUAGAGGUUUCACAUGGGAUUUUAUUCUCUUCUUUUUCUGAAUUGGUGUUUCAUCUUCUCCUUGUUUAGUAUUAGGGUUAAUUAGAUAUAAAAUCAUUAUACUAAUCGAUUUAGGUCCGUUGACUUCUAAUUCAACUAAGCAAUUUUUUUUUAUGGCCUAUAUUCAGGGAUGUGUUUCUACAAUUUGUUUCAGUACCAUCUAUACCCGUAUGCAGGUUUUGGAAAUUAAAAUUUCAAAAUCAUGUAGUAAAUGGUUGAAUAAUUCGCAUCACCUAAUUGCGAUUUAGAAUGUAUACUGAAAUUGAAUUUAUGGUCCAAUUCACUAUUAGGUUUUAAUAAUUCACUGUUCUUUCAGUGUUAUACUUGUAUUUGUAGUUUGGAUUGUAGAAACUGGAGAAAAAGGUGGGGGUGUCUGGAUAGAUGCGGUUCAAUUGAGAUUACAAAUUUAUCACUUUUUUUAUAUCAUAUUUGUAUCGCAUUUCUAAUAGAGAUGAGAUUCACAUGUAUUGGUAAGUCCUAUUUCUAUUAGAAAUGUGGUAUGAAAAAUGUGGUAAGUGUAGGUUACUCUUAAGAUUAAUUGAAUGAUAAUACUUUGCAUCCCCAUGAAGGGAUGCACAUAUUCUUACAUUUGCAAAUAACGUAUUUUGAGUAUAUAAACUUAAUGAUCUAAAUCAUUCAAUUUCUUAAUCAUUAAUUGAAGAUCACUCAUACAAACAAUCAUUUGAAUCGAAAAUCGUUUAAUCAUCGAAACAUAUCAAAUAAAUGAAGGGUUCAUCAUGAAUAUGUUACUUGGUAUCUACACCGUUGAUUUGUACGUUCCAUAUAUUUUAAUGACUAAAUGAUCUCCGAUUCAAAUGAUUUUCUGUAGUUGUGACUUUAAAUGAAGAUUAAGAAAUUGAACAAUUUCGAUUAUAAAAUUUAUAUGAUAAAUAUACAUUAUUUGCAUAAUGAAGAAUGAGCUCAUCCUUCAAAGUAUGAAUGCAAGUAUUAUACUUAAUGAAAUUAUCCAUGAGUUUAUUGUUGGCUAUCCCUCUCACCCAAAAAUGAGAGAGAGAUACGUUAUGUUGCAAAGUUUGAUAAUGCCUUUAUUAUUGGGUUUAGAUGUGCAAAGACUAAACGUAGGUCUAAUUGGACUAAUAAAAGUUUAGAUGUUCUGAAAAUUUCAUUGUCCUUAUCUAAAAUGCUAUCAUUUCGUUACUUUUUUAUAUAUUUUUUUGCUAGUCAGAGCAUAUUUUCACUAAAACGGAGCUUGGCUGCCGAAAAAUCAGCAACAGCUCCUGCUGCUAGCAAAUCACGGAUGGACACGUAUCCAAGUAAUUCAUUUUUUAAUCACAACUUGGACACGUGUCCACCUUCGAUUCGCUAGUAGCAAGAGUUGCUGCUAAUUUUUUCAAGGGAGACUUUGGAUGCGGUCCCUAGUUAUGAACAGUCUUUGACUGAAACCUUAUUGGUUUUCAAUUUUUGAUCCAAGUCCUUGAAAUUAAUUGAUAAUUUAUUUCUAUGUACGUUACUAUAUUUUUUAAAUUAAAAACUAAAAUUUAUAGUUGUUUAUAGUAAUGAGAUUUUAAAUAAAAAACCAUAAUUUGUGGGAUUAAAAAUAUUAAAAUAUAAAUAUAUUAUUGUGUGUGUGUGUAAACAUGGGUACAUUCAUAAAAUAACCAAAAAGUUAUUGUAUCAAAACAUGGGUACAUUCUUCAAAAUGGGUACAUUUAGCAAAAAUAAAAAUGGGUACAAAUAAAUAAAAAAAUAUGGGUACAAACAAAUAAAACUUUAAAAAAUAUGGGCACAAAAAGAAAUUAAUAUAUGGGUACAAAUUAAAACUGAAAGGAAAAUUGGUACAAAUUAAAAAAGGGUUGCAAAUUAAAAAUGGGUACAAACUAAAAAUAAAAAUAUAUGAUAAAAAAUUUAGCCAUAAAUAUAAAUAUACUAAUUGUAACAUUUUUAAUAUUAAAUGAAUAUAUUUAGAAAUAAAAAAUAUUUUAUUAUUGAAAUAAUUAAUGAUAUUAUUAAUACAAAGGACCUUGAUCAAAAAUUGAAAAGUAAUAAGGUUUUAAUCAAUAGAAUAGUAAAAAUAAGGAUGAAAACCUAAUUACUCCUUUUUUCAAUAACAAAGCUUUCUCCUUUUCACUAUGCUAGCUUCUUUGUUGGCCCUAGUUGUCGUCUAGUUAAUAUGCUUACCAGCUCUUACCUAUAAAACGGAAUCAUGCUUAGAAUUUGAACUUACGACAUUGAGAUUUGGAGACCUACAUUGUACCCGACUAAACUAAGAGAGCUUUCUUAUCACAGGAAAUACAAAGAGUGACGGUCCACACACAAAUGAAAAUAAAAAUACAAAAGCGAUUUGAAUUUGAUUGCACUUUUCGUUCCUUCUUCCCAUGAACUUCGGAUCAUCCUUUUACAUUGCUCACUUCUCCAUAUACUUUUCCUCCAUCUCUAAAUUAAAAACAAAUUAAAUCAAAAAAUAAAAAAUAAAAUGGUUAUCGAAUUGACCGAUAUUUGAUUUAAUUACAACAACAAAAAUUUGAAAUGUGCUCUUAAUUAUCUGGUUCCACAAGAGAAUGCAAAUUUUUGUAUCUUCUUAAUUAUAGUAAUUUAUACUAAAAUUCCAUUUGAAGACUUGCACCACCUGAGGCUGUAUACUAAUACCAUAUGAAGGCAAGAUUAUUCAAUGCUAAUCCUUGAAAAUGAAAUUCAAGAAAUUUAAUCAUUUGGCCUGUUGUCAUUCCUUUUACAAAACCAGUUUUAGAGUUUAUAAGUUAAUAGAAUUGAUAGAUUCAUCAUUUAUCAACCGAAUUUGCUUUCAAAUUUCAACAGACAAUUCAUAAAUAUCAUUAGAAAUAAAUAAUGUUGUUAGGUUUUUCCUUUUUUUUCUGGCUGCGUACAUAGUACGUAUUUUGCAAGGCCACCCUGACAUACACAUAUUAGGUCACUCGUCGCAGGACGAACAUGUAGAUGAAGAUGACAGCAGAAGGAAAAGAGCCAUGUAAAUACUAAUUACUUAUAAUUAGGUUUACUAUAUUGUUAUAUAUGUGACCACUAACCAUAGAAUAUAAUAGUCUUCAUUACGAAACUUGAGCUAACUCUAGCUAUGCAAAUUAAGUUAAUAACAAGUAGUACUAGUCUCUCUAUACUUAUGCAGCCGGAGCAAAAUCAUAGUCUCCAUCAUCGUCAUCGCCAUCGUUCCCAUCCCCUUCUGAGCAUGUUAGUGGCGAAAGAUUCUCGAAUUUGGCAGUGACUCUACCAUCUCCAUCUUCAUGCUUCUUGCACCACGAGACAAUGCUAAUAUUUGAAACGGGACACAUUUUUGUUUUUUUUAUCAAGAAAGUGAAAAAAGAAAGAGUUAGACUGAGUCCAAAUGAUGAUAACUUAGAUUGUGAAGGUAAGUUCAUAUAUAUAUCGAGGGACGAGAAUAAGGUGCAUGUUAAACUCGUCUUUGCACAAGGCAUUCGCGUGGGGAGUGUGACUGCUGCAUGAAGGUUGUGCAAGAACCAUUGUCCAAGACAGGUGGUGCUUUGUCAUCCAGCCACGAAGGGGUCGCAAAUGACAAUUCAGCAAACCACGUUGGUGCAAAUUAUGUUUGCUUCGUGACAACAUGCAGAGUUCAUUCAUGUGUUAGGAUGGAGAUAAUUGGCAAUGUGUUGGGUGGGUAUAUAUUCGAGGAAGAGGAUCCUCUCCUGAGCUUAGGAUAAGAAUUCUUCUGACCACGAAAUCCGGACCGUUCAAAUUUAAUUUAACGGCUCCAAACAAGAAGACCUUCUAAAAGUUAUAAUAAUUACAACCGUUGGAUUAAAUUUGAACGUCCCGAAUUUCGAGAUCAGGAGGAUCCCCAUCAUGAGCUCAAGAGAGGAUCCUCUUCCUAUAUUCGAAACUCUGAAAGUGAUAGAUGCUUUAUUCACAUGAAAGAAAAGGCUAAUCUUUGCUUUUCAAUACUAGGGUAGAAACAAUUAAUAGCUAGAUUUCCUUGGUAACCUUUUCAUUUAAACUUUUUGGUUUUAUGUUUUUGAGGUGGAGUUGCUCUUAGAAUAUGCAAAAGUUAUUUCCCACAAUACAAACUUGGUUAUUAAAAUGGAAAUUGAAGUCUGUGACUUUGGACGAAUCAGUUAGAUAAAGCUACGUCAUAUUUGACAUUUUCGAGGUUUUUGUUUUCAUAUAAUGUCCUUGAUUCCUCCCUCUUCCCUCCCAUGAACUCGCAUCAUCCUUUUCCAUUCCUCACGUUUUCUUAUACUUUCUUUCUAUCCCUAGAAACAGAUGAAAACUAAAAACUAAAAAAGAAAUGGUUAUCAAAUUGACAAAGAAAUUCGCAGGGUUCGAUCCAGAAGGCGCAAACACAUCAGAACACUCUCCACUAAUAAUCCAAAACGGUAGAGACAUCAUCUGUAACAAAAGAUUGUUGUACAACACAAAACCCCGAGCGUUUAAACCGACAUUCGUGACCAUAUGCUUAAUAUAAACCAUCUUAGUUGCAAUGGUCACCAAAUAGGCAAACGCUUACGAAUACGCAGUCGAACUAAAACCCAAAUCGGUGGCCACAUAACCAAUAGCUCUACCCAAAAUGAUCAACAACGAUACAAAGGUAAGCUUAGACGGGAUUGGCAGCUUCCUAAAUGCAGUAUCCGCUAGCGCAACCAAAAGGGGUGCGCAAGAUCUAACCAUUACAAAUGUAUCCACAUUCGCAUGGCGAAGAAGAUUGGUGUUGAUAAAGAUAGCAAGGUAAAACACAAGUGCACAGUGGGCAAAAACGUCUUGGCCGUCUGCCAUGUGAAGGGAUCGUGGUGCAAAAAUUGAUAAAUUCCGGUGAGUUAAUUUGUUUGGUAUGAUGUAUUUCUGAAGGUAGACAAGGAACAAGAAAAACAGAGAGAGUUUAGAGGAAUGUGAAAGGUGCUUUUUUUCAGUGCAUUUUGUAAGCAUAGAUAUUUUCAUUAAAUAUCAACACAUUGGAUUUUUUCUCUUACAAGCUAAUCUAGAGCAAUAUAAGCCCUUGAUUCACAAACAAGGAUCUAAAGCAUACACUUGUCUUAUGAGACUAGACAUACACUUUCCUAUUGGUUUCUUCCUUCUCAGCCACUUGAUCAAAACUGAAUUCUAUUUAAUUCCAACACUCCCCUUUAAAUGAAUUAUGGUUUUGAUUCCAAGCAUUCCUCUGAGAUAGACAAAUCUUUCCCUUGGUAGAGCUUUGGUAAAGAUGUCUGCCAUUUGAUCCUGUGAUUUGCAGUAGAUCAGUUCAAUGGUAUUCUCCUGCAAGGGUUCCCUUAUGAAGUGAAACUUCCUUUUGAUAUGCUUGGUUUUCUGGUGAAAAAUAGGAUUUUUGGUCAUAGCUAUUGCUGAUGUGUUGUCACACAUAAGUGGUGUAGCAUCCACUUGCAUUUCACCAAAAUCCUUUAACACAAACCUCAACCAUAUAGCUUGAGAGGUAGCCAUUGCAGCACUCACAUACUCUGCCUCAGCCGUAGACAAUGCAACACUUUAUUGCUUGACAGAGGCCCAAGAAAAUAUCCCAGAACCAAAUGUAAAUGCAUAUCCUGAGGUACUUCUCAUGUCAUCUUCACUGCCACCCCAAUUGUUGUCACAGAAGCCUACCAGAAUUGCUUUUUCUCCUUUUUCAUACUUGAUUCCAUAGUCCAAGGUCCCUGAGAUAUACCUUAGUACACUCUUAGCAGUUCCCAUGUGAAUUCUUGUGGGAUUAUGCAUGAACCUUGAUAAGAGACUGGCUGCAUACAUAAUGUCAGGUCUCGUAGCAAUCAAGUAAAGCAGACUUCCAACCAUUCUUCUGUGUAAGCAUUCAUCAGCAGAUUCAGAACCAUCCACUUUACAAAGUUUCUCAUUUGUGAUCAAUGGUGUUGCCACAGAUUUACAUCCUUUCAGAUUGAAUCUUUCAAGCAAUGAUUGUGCAUACUUCUGUUGAUGUAUGAAAUCCCAGUAACUUCUUGUAUUACUCCAAUUCCCAAGAAGUGAUGCAACAAGCCAAGAUUCGACAUCUCAUAUUGACUCAUCAUGUCCUUUCUGAAUUCUUCAAUCAUUUCUUCACAAUUACUAGUAAAGACCACAUCAUCAACAUAUAUAGACACAAUAAGCAUCUCAGAGUUCUCACCAGUUUUUGUAUAUAAUGUAGCUUCACUAGGACUUUUGUUAAACCCACUUCUGCUGAAAUAGGAGUCUAUCUCACUGUACCAAGCCCUGGGGGCUUGUUUGAGUCCAUACAGUGCUUUGUUUAACUUAUUAACCCUCUCUUCUUUAUUUGGUACUUCAAAUCCUUGUGGUUGAUCCACAUACACUUCUUCCUCCAUAAUGCCAUUUAGAAAGGCUGAUUUAACAUCUAACUAGUGAAGUUUCCAUCCCUUUUGGGCAGCAAGAGCAAUCAAGGUUCUAAUGGUAUCUUACCUUGCCACUGGGGCAAAGGUUUCAUUGAAAUCUACCCCAGGUUGUUGUGAGUGGCCUUUGGCAACUAAUCUUGCUUUGUUUUUCUGUAUUGAUCCAUCCAAAUUUAGUUUGGUCUUGUAGAUCCAUUUCACACCUAUCACAGGUUUAUCACUCGGUCGAUUUACCAAUUUCCAAGUAGAGUUUUUCUCAAUCAUGGCAAUUUCUUCACUCAUUGCUUUCUGCCAAGAUUGAUCCUUCUCAGCUUCUUCAAAACUCUCUGGUUCAACAACAUAAUAGUUACACACUGCAUAGAUCUCAUUUAAACUUCUCAUUCUCAAUGGAGUUGUUUCAGGGGAGGAAUCCUGUAAUUCUUGUCCUUCUGCAUUUGAAGUAGAGGAUUGAGAUCCUUGUGUUGGAGUUGAAAAGUCAUUUUGACUUCCAUCCUGUAUAACAGGUUCAUUCUCAUUUUGCACUUCAGCUUGUGUUUCUUCCAUUGCUAGUGGAAAUGAGAUAGUGUCAAUGUUAUUGGUUUCCUAAUUCCAUGCUUCAUUCUCCUUGAACACCACAUCCCUUGAGAUAAUCACUUUAUGUGACUCAAUAUUGUAGAGCCUAUAGCCCUUUUCACAGCUUCCAUAACCUAUAAGAACACACUUGACACUAUUGAUUUCAAGCUUGUGUCUUAAUUGAGAUGGUAUAUGUGCAUAGCAGAUUGAUCCGAACACCUUCAAGUGCUUCACACUUGGUUUGCUGCCACUAAAUGCCUCAAAAGGUGUUUUCUUCUCAAGUGCUUUAGUUGGACACCUGUUUAGGAGAUACACAGAUGUAUUGACAGCCUCACCCCAAAAAGAAAGUGGCAUUUUCUUAUCAUGUAGCAUUGACUUGGUCAUUUCAACCACGGUCAUGUUCUUCAUCUCAGCUACACCAUUCUGUUGUGGUGUGUAGGCCACUGUCAAUUGCUUCUGUAAUCCUGCUCCUUCACAGAAUUCUUGGAACUCAAGUGACAUGAAUUCACCACCUCUGUCGCUUCUUAGUCUUUUGAUCUUAAAACCACUCUGAAGUUCAACCAUCACUUUGAAUUUCUUGAAGAUUGAAAAGACUUCACUCUUGUUUCUCAUAAGAUAUACCCAAACCAUCCUGGUGCAAUCAUCAAUGAAUAACAGAAAGUAUAUGUUCCCACUGAAUGUAGGUGUCUUCAUUGGACCACACACAUCUGUGUGAAUGAGUUCUAGAGGUUGGCUUGCUUUCCAUGCAUUUCCAGUUUCAAAAGAGUCCCUGUGAUGCUUCCCCAAUAUGCAACCUUCACAUGAUUCUUUAGUCUAUUGUAACUCAGGAAGACCAGUCACCAUUUGUAGUUUCUUCAAUCUCUUUAAACUAUGAAAGUUGAGAUGUCCAAACCUCUUGUGCCAUAACCAAGAGUUUUCUGCAACACUUGCUUUUAGAGCAAUUGAGUCAUUGUAAUCUAGCAUAAGUGGAAAACUUUUGUUUUCUGUCAUGCCAACUUGUGUUAUCGAGUUUUGGAGGCUUCUGUCAUCAAAGAUCACCACCAUAUUGUCUCCAAAAAGUAAGAAGUAACCAUGAGAAAUCAUUUGUCCCACACUAAGGAGAUUCUCAUCAAGACCUGGUACAAGUAUUACAUCCUUGAUAAAUCUUCUUCCACCCUUUGUCUCUAGAACAAGAGUUCCUUUUCCAGUAGCUUUCACUAGUUGUCCAUUCCCCAUUUUAACUCUGCAAUUGAAGCUUCUGUCAAUGUUGAUUAACAAGGAUUCAUAUAUAGUCAUAUGAUUACUGCAUCCACUGUCAAUGUACCAGAUUCCUCUCUUAUUUUCAGUUCUUGCAACACUACAAGCAUAAAAGACAUUUACUUCCUCUUCUUCUGCUCUAUGUGCAUAGUUGACAGCUUGGUUCCUUCUUGGAUUACAAUCUUUUGCUAGAUGGCCAAAUAUGUCACACUUGGUGCAUUUGGGUUUUCCCUUGAACCAACAAACACCAUAGUGUAAUUUGUCACAGAUUUUACACUUGGUUUUGGUAGAAUCACUGCUAGUUUCUGAUUUUGAUGGUGGAGUAUGGUUGUUGUCCCAUUUCUUCCCUUUUCCUUUCCAGAAUUUCUUUUGAUUUGAGUUGUUCCCUUGAGCCCUGUAACUGCUAUCUCUCUCAGUCACACUUAGACUAGUAAAAGCCUUUUCAGCGAAGUUUUCAGAGUGCAUAUUUAACCUCUGCUCAUAGCCUUUCAAUGUACCAAUCACCUCCUGAACCUCAAUGGAGUCAAGGUCCUUAGUUUCUUCUAUAAGUAUGCGAUGGAAUCAUAGGAUUUAGGCAAGCUAAUAAGUAUCUUCUGUACUAAUCUUUGGUUUGUCAGUUCUUCACCAAGAGUUUUCAUUUGAUUCACAAUGUCUGUCAAUCUUGUUAAAUAAGUAGAUAGAGCUUCACCAUCAUUCAUCCUAAUGUACUCAAAAUCUCUUCUUAAACAUUGUAGUUUGACAGACCUAACCUUUUUAUCACCACCAAAUUCUUGUUGAAGAACAUCCCAUGCAGUCUUGGAAGUUUCAAAGUUUGAGAUUCGAGGAAAGAUCUCAUCAGACACUGCCCCUUGAAUGAUACCAAGAGCUUUUGCAUCUCUGGUUUCAUUAACUUUCAUUGCUAUCUUCCUCACAGACUGUUGAUCUUCAUCGCUAGAAUUAUCUUCAGUUUCUACGGUUUCAAAACCCUUGUCCACCAAAUUCCAGAGAUCAUGUGAUUUAAAUAUGGUCUUCAUCUUGAUGGACGAAAAAUCAUAGUUGAUCCCAUUAAAAAUAGGAGCCCUCAUAUCUCCUCCACUGCUCGAAGUAGCCAUGUGAGACUUUGUAAGAACAAAUGAGAUUUUCACGAUCUAGGUAUGUUUUUCCCCUUUCCUUUUCAGAGAUACGAAGCACACACAAAAACGCCUAGUCCUGAAAUUGAUCAGAAAAUAAGCUCUGAGGCCAUGAUAAAUUCCGAUGAGUUAAUUUGUUUGGUAUGAUGUAUUUCUGAAGGUAGACAAGGAACAAGAAAAACAGAGAGAGUUUAGAGGAAUCUGAAAGGUGCUUUUUUCAGUGCAUUUUGCAAGAACAUAUAUUUUCAUUAAAUAUCAACACAUUGGAUUUAUAAAUCUUUUAAAAUCUCUCAAAAUCUCAAUUGAAUUCACUCUCCUAGUUAUUUAAAGGGAAAUUGAAGCCUAAAAAAAGGACAACAAUGAAAGAUAAUUUGUAAAUUUGUUUAACUUUUCGUCGAAUAACUCAAAUAUGCUUUUCUAUAAAAACUAUACAUAUUUGAUCUCACAGCCCAACCAAAACUCAAUCGCAUAGCAACUCAGUACCACAGUUUGGUAAUAUUCCUCUUUGAAAGUGAAAGGUCUUAGGUUUCAAUCUCAUGGAUGAUGAAUUCGAUACCAAAUUAUGUUGCUCAUUGUGUAGCUUAGCUGAAUUCAUCAUCCUCCUAAUAUAAAAAUAUCAAUGUACCAAUAAAAAAAACAAAACUCAGUCACAUAAACAUGAUUUCCUGAAGGGAAAAUUAGAAUGCCCUACAUCUUUUCUAUAGUUGUUAGAUUAAACGUUCAUCCCUUUUAAAGAUUUGAUUAAGGUGUUUUGAUCAAUUGCCAUCUCAAUAAUUUGGGAACUUUAACGAAAAGCUCCCGGUACUGUUAAAUUUAACGAAAAACCAUAUUUUUACAUUAAAAAAUCAAUUCUGGUACUAUUCACUUUACCCUUUAUUUUGUCCUUAUCGUUAAAACUCAAAGUUUUCAAGCCCUUUUCAUUAGUUUUCCUUAAUAAUUUUCUAUUUAUUUAAUUUCCAUGUCAUUAAUUUAAAUGCAUUUAUAUAGAGGCAUAAGGUAGCUUAGCAACUAAUUGCCUAUGAGAUUCAAAUUUUCAAAGGGAGUGUAUAUUUAGUCCAAAAAAUUAAAAAAUAAGGCACCUAUAUCAAAACGCUCAUUUCCUGAAUGAAUGCAUAUGAUUUUUACCUUAAGAAGUUCACGAAAUCAGCUUGUCAACCUCUUAGUGGUGAGGAUGUGCGUAUGAACAUAGGUUCGAAUGAACUUCCUUGUAAACCAAUCAAAAUAACCAAUAUCCUUCUCAACCUCCUGCAACCAAGACAGAGUCACCGUCAACAAGCUCAUGAUUUUCUGCACUGACCCAUCUCUCGGAAACUUUGAUUACGCCGAGAAAGUCUUCCAUUUCAUCAAAGAUCUGUGCUUGUUUGUUUACGAUGAAAUGAUCAAGGCGUUUGCCAAAAGGAGUAGUUUCAGAAGCGUCGUUGAGCUCUUCCGGCGGUUGAGGGAGGAGGGAUUAUGCCCCUAUAAUUUUACCAAACCAUUUGUUUUAAAGCCAUUGGAUGCUUGGGAGAGGUUCGGGAAGGUGAAAAGGUUCAUGUGUUUGUGGUAAAAACUGGAAUUGGGUUUGAUGGUAUGUAUGUAACUCGCACAUUGACAUGAAUGUGUAAUUGGGCAUGGUUGAGAGUUUCAAGCAGGUGUUUGAUGAAAUACCUGAGAGAAACAAGCUUUGUUGGAACUUGGAACUUUACGAUUUCGAGGUAUGUUAGAUGCAGGAGGUUUGAUGAGGCUUUGGAUAUGUUUCGGAGGAUGUCAUGUGAGAGCAAUGAGAAGCUCGAUGAAGCUACUGUUGUAACCACCAUUUUAGCUUGAACAUCAUCGAAAACUUUGAAGCUUGGUAAAGAAAUUGAUGAAUAUGUUAGAAAUGAACUUAGAUUCAUUACUAGAACCGGAAAUGUGGUUGUUGAAUACGUAUGUAAAGCUUUGCAGUUUGGCAUGAAGCCUGAUGAUUUCACCUUCAUUGUUGUCUUAACUGACUGCGUUCACAGAGGGUUGGUAGAUGAGGGUUGGGAGUUCUUCAACUCCAUUAGAAAGAUAUAUGAGAUUGAGUGACAUUAGAACACUAUGGUUGCCUGAUCGACCUUCUUGGCCCUACCAGACUGUUAGACGAAGCAGAUGAGUUGAUAGAAAGGGUUCCAAGUGAGAUUAUAGUCCCGAUUUCUAUAUGUUUGCAUCCAUGGUCAGUAACUGCACAUUUCAAUCUAAAAUUUUGAUUUAGGACCGAAAAAGUCGAAGUAUGAUGCUAAUAAUUUGGUUCCACAAGAGAAUAUGGAUAUCUGUAAAGCAUACACCAAUUAACAACUGAACAACUAGUCAAUAUCGCAAAUGAAUUGUCAGUAAAAUGAGGAACAAAUCAUCUGUUGGAUGCGAUCAAAUCAAAUGUCCGAAUAAUGGAGCUGGAAAACGAGAAAGACAGCUGACAUGGUCUGCGGGAGAGUAUAAUGCAGGAAUAGCGACUACUCAACCGAUCUGGCAAUGCUCUCUCUUCAAACCUUUUGCCUUUUCCGUUUGGGUUCAUCUGUAGGAGUCGUCAUUGAUUAGUGGGAUGAUUAUCAUAUGCGCCAUGGCUUGGUCCCGGACUUGACUCAUCAUACAACCAAUCUGGAACUGCUUCAGAUUCAUAUUCAUAGUAAUAAAUGCCCGAAUCAACAUGCUUGUUUUCCUUCAAAGGUUUGUCCCAUACUAGAUUUACCCCUGUUUUCUUCGCUUUAAGACCCUCUAUAAGAAUAACAAUCUUGUCCCCGCCUUGCAAAUUGAGCUUGAGCUGAUCGUUCGAUAAUUGUACCUGCUGAAAAUGAUCCACUGUUACUCCCCAAGCUCCCCAAGAAGGCAUAGAGACCCUCGAAGUAGUAUGCUUGGUACAAUUUACAACAGUAAAGGCAACACUUAAACUGUAGUAUUGCCAACCAAUCCAGCAGAGUGUCAACCCUUUAAAAUUACGACAUUUACAUUGAGGAACAUCAAAACUGACUUUAUUGCCGUCAGCGACAAAGUCAAACCACUUUGGAAUACCAUAAAUCCCACUCAGUAUAAUUCCACCAGCUCCGCAAGAAGUCCAUUCCUAUAAUAUACAUACAAUGUAAUAUAGUGUCAAAUAAUUGUACAUGUGCGGUUGUGUUUGUGCGUGUGAUUGAUAGAGAAAGACAAGAGUAGGAGGAGACAGAGAUAGAGAUAGACCUGUAGGAUGUUGUUCCUAAACUCAGCUGUGAGAUUGGUGCACCUAUACAUAUGAAGCUCCGCCAUGGAGUUUAAUGAUUUACCCAAGCCUAAACCUGGAACCUCUGUGACUUCGGGCGAAUUAAUUAGAUACAGUUUUCUCAUGUUUGACAUUUGCGAAAAGUUUGGCAUUGUUUCCAAUGCAGGGCAUCCACUUGCUUCCAAGACUUCCAAAUUUGUUGGUAAAUCGGGGAUUGCACGAAGAUUUCUGCAAUCCCUAACUAUCAACUCUUGUAAAGAAAUUAGACGCCCAAGGUCGUUGGGGAAUUGUUUUAUGGCUGUUCCAGUUGCAUUAAGUUUUCUCAAUGAUACCAUCUCCCCUAAGCCCUCAGGCAGUUCUCUUAAUGCACAACAAUCCAACAGACAAAGAGUCUCAACAGAGUUCAACUUACAGAAUUUCGCUGGAAGAUAACUAAGCUUAACGCAUAAUGCAAAAUCUACCCUAGUGAGUUUUUUAAGUUGACCGAUGGAUGGGUGAAUCUUGGACAAACUAUAACAGUGUGAAAAAUUCAAUUCUUCGAGAUUUGGGAGUCCUGAAAAGUGUGGUGACUUUUUUAACUUCCAGGACCUAUGAAGAUCAAGGAUUUUCAAAUUUUCGAGCGGCUGCACAAACCCAAAAGAAAAUAUUAUUCAAAAUCCAAGAAGAAUAUGGCUUAAAAAAUAAAAUCGGAGUGGGAAUUAAUUAUAACCCGCUAUGGGCUAGGGGUGAUUGUACCUUGGAAUUCUUCCAGCCUUUUCUGAGGUUGCUGAACCGCAGGUCAAGAGCAACAAGUUUUGGCUGAUUAAGAAGGUGCUCUGGCAUGUACUUGGAAGGGAAUCCAUGCCAGCGCAACCAUCUCAACUCUUUCGGAAAAUGUUUGAAGCUUCCAGUAAGCGUUACAUUGUUGAGCCGUAGCAAUCUCAGUUUUUUCAUAUUGACAAAUGCUUUUGUACUGAAACUAGCCUUUUUUUUUAGAGCUUGGCAAAUCUAGAGAAAGUGCUUCAAUUUCUUCAGUUCCCUGUUAGGUAAACAAAAGGACAUAUGAUGAAUAAUAAAAGGGUCAUUUGCGUCUGAAAAAUGAUUUACUUUCAAACAAUUGUCAUAUAAUCGGUUGGAAAUCGAUUUAAUUGCUUCUAUUUCCACGUGAAGGUUUAUUGUACUUAUAAAUAUAUUUCUACAUAAUAUUAUAAAAGGAAAACUAAUAAAAAUGGUUUGAAAACUUUGAGUUUUAACGAUAAUAACAAAAUAAAAGGUAAAAUGAAUAAUAUCAUAAUUGACUUUUUAGUGUAAAAAUGUGGUUUUUCGUUAAAGUGAACAGUACGGGAAGUUUUCGUUAAAAUUUCUUAUUAUAAAAUGUAAGCAGUUGCACUAGGAUAUGAUUUAGCGAGCAUUAAUAUUAAACUUUAUUGAUAAACUACUUACAGAUUUAUUUGUCAACACGUCUGUUAUGGCUUCAGAAUUCCAGAGUCUACUCCAUCUUCCAGGCUGAGUAGGAGAUUUUUCAGAAAUGAUUGCCUUGCCCAUUUCUUGAAUCAAAUCAUGCAUCUUUAGUUUGCCCGAUUCAACAGUUAUAAGACACCGUUCACGAAGAACACUGAUUUCGCUUGUUGCAUAGAAGCCACAUUCGUCUAAUAUUUUUGUGACAUGAUCCUUCUCCAAGCCAAGAAAGCAACAAGAUAUAUCAAGGAAUAUAGUUUUUUGAUUAUAAUCCAACCCAUCAAAGCUUAUUUUGAGUUUUUCUAUAAUUUCUCCUUCAGGUAUUCUUUUUAAUUUCUCCAAAUAGCUUUGCCACUCUCUUGUGGGUCUACCAAAAAGAGAGGAGCCUAAAACCUUGAGUGCUAACGGCAAACCUCCACAGUAAGAAACUACCUUCUUUGACAAUUCAAGAUAUUCUUCUUUAGGGCAAUUAUUUUCAAAUGUAUGCCAACUGAAAAGCUCAAGAGCUUCCUCCUUAUUCAUUUUCUCAGCUGCAUAUCUCAUAUUCAUUCUCACUGGAUUUAGUAAAUGCUCAUCUCUUGUUGUUAUGAUAAUUAUACUUCCUGGACCAAACCACUCACGAUCUCCAGCUAUUGCACUUAGUUGCUCCACUUUAUCUACAUUAUCAAUAACAAGAAGUACUUUUCUAGGUCGAAGGCAUCCUUUUACUACACUGAUCCCUCUCUGGACAUUAUUUAUCUGGCAUAUGGUGGUUUGUUUCAAAAUGCUAGAAACAAGUUGUUUUUGCAAAUCAACCAAACCAUAUCUACGUUCGGUGUUGCUAACAUCGCCAAGGUAACAUUUAAACUGGAAUCGAUGGUGAAUUUUGUUAUAAAUGGAAUUGGCAGCAGUUGUUUUGCCCAAUCCACCCAUCCCCCAAAUUCCAACCAUUUUAACAUCAUUUAAUCCACCACUAAAAAGAUAACUGAUAAUUGGUUGAACACGAGAGUUGAUUCCAACCGGGUACUUGGCCACCUGUAAUUCAUCUAUGCCAGGAAGCAUUUCCAGAAUAUUCUCCUCAACAAUUGUCUUAAUAACCUUUGCUUCAGGCCUGAAAACUCAAUUAGUAAGCAUUGACUCAAUGAAGGAUUACUAGAAGCUAUCACCUUCACUCAACAGUCAAUAUAAAGAAUUAACUAAAUGCAAAAAAAUAAUAUAUAUAUAUAUAUACACACACACAAACCAGUCAUUUUCCAUUGAGAGAUUCUUCAAAUAAUUUUAAUUGAUUUGACAAAAUAAAAAUAAUUUUAUUUGAGAAACACCUUGUGGACGUCAUUCCAUAACUUAUUUUUCAGGAUUCAUUCAUGCCAUAUAUGGUCAAAAGAGAGAAAAAAAAAAUUCAUUUUUUGAACAAAAAAUAUAAUUUACAUUAAGAGAAAGAGAGUAAGCUUAAUCUCAAAAAAAAAAAAACCAAAAUACAAAAAAAAAAAAAAAGGUUUAUAAUUUGUAUAUGAAUUUGUUGUUCCAUUCCGAUUGGGCAUUCAAUUGCUUGAGUGGACCCAUCAGCCCAUCUGUUGGUUCCUUUUGUUUGGGCUUUUAUAUUUUAAACUGCCAUUUCUAAGAUUCAAAAAUAAUAUCCAAAGCUCCUAAAUCUAGCCUUCUUUGUACCAAAAUUAUUAUGAUAUUAAUUAAGUUAUAAAUCAAUGAUAUGUACAAAAAAUUUAAAAAAUUUAAAAAUACCAAAAAUUAAACGUAUCAAAAAUUAAAUGUACUAAAAUUAAACUAAUCAAUCAACCAUAUGUACAAAAAUCAAUGUACCAAAAAUAAAAAACAAACGUACCAAUUCAUAAUAUGAAUAAAAUUAACGUAUGAAAACUAAUGAUAAGCAUACUAGUAAUGUAUAGAAAUAAUUCUCUCAAUAAACUGUAUACAUGAUAAUUUGAAAAAAAUAAUAUAAACAUCCACCAUUUUUGUUAUCUUGAAGAUAAGAUUAUAUUUUAAUUUAGGAGAUCAAGAUAUUUUGUACGAAAAAAAUAUUAAAAAAAGGGGAACUUUCAUGAAAAGGGCUUGGACUAAGUUUAUUUUAAUAAAAAAUCAUGCUAUAAAUUUAUUUAAUUAAAAAGACUAAAAUUUUAAUGAAAAACCCUUAAAUUUUAAUAAAAAGGAACUUAAAUUUUAAUGAAAAAGACAUAAUUUUAAUAUUAAAAAAAAAAAUCUGAUGCGCGGACCCAUGUGUCCUCACACUGUUUAUGGAACUUCUACACUGCUUAUGGAACUUACGACACUAUUUAUGAAACUUACUGCACUGUUUAUGAAAACUUACGACACUGUUUAUGAAACUUACUAGAUUAUUUAUGAAACUUAAUGGUACUACAUUCUUCUCUCUCGUCUUCUUGAAUAUUCUUAGCACAUUCUCACUUUCCAAACACAUCUUAUUCUUCUAAUUUUCUUCGAUACUCAUUAAAAUACAAAGAUUUAAAAGCAAUUUUCAUUAAUUUUCUUAGAAAAAUAUACACAUAUAUUUAUCCUUUUGUCGCCAAACAUCAAUGUGAUGACGUAUUUAAAUUUCUCCUCUUCACAUGUCGAUGUCCAAUGCAUAAAAAAUUGAAGCACCGAAACGAAAAUCAAACAAAAAUUUGUCUGCCAUGUAAGAUGAAGCAUCAGUGUUCCUUCAUCUGAAACUCCACUUGUAAUUACCUAGAUAGUUUGAACUUGAAGCAUUUAGCAUUGUGGCUAUGCUUGCGCGAAAGUGCGAUAGGUUGGUCGAUUUCAUUCAGUGUUUCAUAGGUUGUAGUUGAUGUGCAACAAGUCGAUUUGAAUUAAAUUUGGGUUCGGAUGCAAGUUUGACAAGACCAUGUACAGUAAACAUGCAACUUGCAGAAGCGAAAUUGUUUGAUAAGAGUAUUGGGUGAUUGGGUGGGUGAGGGCGCGCGCACAGCGCGACUUUUUUUUUUAAUGUUUAUUUAUUUUAUUUUUUUUGUCCUUAUCAUUAAAUAAAGGUAGUGUAUGGUUUUUCAUUAAAAUGCAAAAAUUUGAAGCUCUUUUCAUUAGUUUUUCUUAAAAAAAGAUCACUGGAUAAAUAUUCUUAAUGACAAACCAUUGAUUAUCUCUUAAAACAGAGUGUCUCAACUUCUAAAAUACUUUAAAAAAAUUAGCAGAAAAUUAAUUUUUAACUGAUGUGGCCCAAUGUACCUAAGCGUCUGAAUCAAGAUCCUUAAAAACACAGAUCUUUGAUAAAAAAAACUUUAAAUGUUAGGGAUUUAAAUCUAGGAAGUUCUAACAAAAAGAAUGCGGUACUGUUUAUUUUAACGAAAAAUCACAUUUUACACUAAAAAGUCAAAUUUAGUACUAUUUAUUUUACCUUUUAUUUUGUACUUAUCCUUAAAACUCAAAGUUUUCAAGUAUUUAUCUAAUCAAGCCUAUGUAAAAUAUGUUUUAAAUAGAAGAUGUCCCUACUGUUACUCAUAUUUUAUCUUGCAAAUCUUGAUGUUUCAGCGAAGCUAUUUUUCUUGUGUGCUAUUUUCAUAACAACCAUUCAUUAACACGUUUCAAAAUGUGGAAAAGCCGAAAAUAGAUAGCAGCAUUACUAAGACGUCCAAGUCCAAUGAAAAUGGUUACCCGUUAUUAAGAUGGUGGCCAGACAAAUUUGCAGCUUGAGUGAGAGCCUCUCUCCACUGCUUUACCCUUUCUUUCUUAGCUUCACGUUCGUUGUCAUCUUUUUCUUCAAGGAUGUCAUCGUGCUUCUGAAAUGCUCGGGCUAAACAACCUUCUUGCUUCCUCACAUGUGAAGGAUCGACAUGAUAGAAUAUUGGCAAGACCUGUUGCUCCAGCCUUUCUCUACAUUCCAUGAUCUUCACCAGCUCGUCAAGACACCAUCUUGAUUCCGCGUAACUCUUUGAGAGGACAAUGACCGAGAUUCUGGACUCUUCGAUUGCCCGCAACAGUUCGGGUUUUAUUUCUCCCCCUCUUUCAGAUUGUCCUCAUCAAUAAAGGCAUCGAGGCCCCUGCCUUGUAAAGCCGCGUGAAGGUGGCUCGUGAAGCCAUUGCGUGUAUCUUCACCUCUAAAACUCAAGAACACAUCGUAGUUCCAGAGUUUUGAAGAGGAGGGUUCACGGGAUGUCAUGGUGUUGUAUUACUGUUUACAGCACUAGAGUGGUUCCAAUCAAGCGAAAAAAAUCGCAGUGGUUUUUUUAGUGUUGCAACAGAGUAUAUAUAGCACCGAAGGGACACUUUUUGGUUCUUUCCAGGAAGCGUUCCGCUCCCAAUCUUUAGCUCUUUCCGGGAAGCAUCCGCCCCAAGUUUUGAAGAAAACCAAGGAUGUUUCCAGUGGAAAACCACGAUGUUCGUGGCCUCAUGAUCUGAUCACUGGACGGCUACGAUUAAAGUGUCGGAAAAGAUGGGAGAAAAACAGCUUUAAGAUGAACUGCGUUCAACUAAGUAAAAGGACACGAACUGAUGGGACUUGAGUCGAUGAUAGGAAGGGUAGCAAGUGCCUUUUACUUAGUGCGCUUGCAUAACUACUUAAUUGUUGCUGAGAUUCUACGGAGGAGCCUAUAUUUUAAUGACUAAAUAAUCUCCUAAUUACUAAACGAAGUGAGAUACUGAAGUCAAGUCUCCUCUCAAAAGCAAAGCACAUUCAGUCAACAAAGAUAGAAGUCAUCAUGUAACCCUAAGCGACACGGUAAUAGAACGGUGGAAAAGCUGCUUUUUGAAGAAAAACAAGGUAGUUUCCAGUGAAAAACCAAGAACCUACUCGUGGCCACACGAUCUGAACACUGGAUGGCUAAGAUUGAAGAUUGGGCGAAAACUGCCUUUGGAGAAAAGAAGGCGUUCAACGGAAAAAGGACAAACUAUACCCCAACUGAUGAGCUUGUAGUUCCACUUUAGGCGGUACUUAGUGCUACAAAACAGAGUGGACGGCACAUGCUAGUAACGUCAUCGUUGAUCAAUGGGAAAACUGAGGUUCUACGAAGGGUAAGGGAAAGAGGCACGGUGGGGGAAAGAAACUAGCACAAAAUUAGAGAGAGUCUAUUACACCAUCUUCACUUACAAACUAAGACAACGAAGUAGAGGUUUCACAUGGGAUUUUAUUCUCUUCUUUUUCUGAAUUGAUGUUUCAUCUUCUACUUGUUUAGUAUUAGGGUUAAUUAGAUAUAAAAUCAUUAUACUUUAGGUCCGUUGACUUCUAAUUCAACUAAGCAAUUUUUUUUAUGGCCUAUAUUCAGGGAUGUGUUUCUACAAUUUGUUUCAGUACCAUCUAUAUCCGUAUGCAUGUUUUGGAAAUUGAAAUUUCAAAAUCAUGUGUAAAUGGUUGAAUAAUUCUCAUCACCUAAUUGCGAUAUAUAAUGUAUACUAGAAUUGAAUUUAUGGUCCAAUUCACUAUUAGGUUUUAAUAAUUCACCGUUCUUUCAGUGUUAUACUUGUAUUUGUAGUUUGGUUUGUAGAAACUGGUGAAAAAUCAUUAGGUUUUAAUAAAAAGUUGGGGGUGUCGGAUAGAUGCAGUUCAAUUGAUUACAAAAGUGAUAUUUUAUCACAUUUUUUAUAUCAUAUUUGUAUCACAUUUCUAAUAGAGAUGAGAUUCACAUGUUUUGGUAAAUCCUAUUUCUAUUAGAAAUGUGGUAUGAAAAAUGUGGUAAGUGUAGGUUACUCUUAAGAUUAAUGGAAGGAUAAUACUUUGUAUCCCCACGAAGGGAUGUACAUAUUCUUACAUUUGCAAAUAACAUAUUUUGAGUAUAUAAACUUAAUGAUCUAAAUCAUUCAAUUUCUUAAUCAUCAAUUGAAGAUCAUUCAUACAAAAAAUCAUUUGAAUCGAAAAUCAUUUAAUCAUCCAAACAUAUCAAAUAAAUGAAGGGUUCAUCAUGAAUAUGUUACCUGGUCUUAAAUUUCAGGUAGACAAGCCAUGAGUCCACUCCAACAACACCGAUAUUGUCCCCACUUGGCCACCUACUCAAUCCCUCAGGUGUGGGGUUUUAAUACAAAAGACCUCGGUGUUAGUUAGAGUGGGGUAAUUUUAUAUAGAUGGCUUGUUCUCAAGCCUUCUAGCCAAUGUGGGACAAAAUAAUUCUAACACUCCCCUGCACGUGAGACCCCAUUUUAUGGGUCACACCUGGAGUUCCACACAUCGGCAACCAUGUGGAGCCAAGUUGGGGCUCACCCGUUUGCACAGGGCCAAUACACGUGGCAUAUCUUGGCCUACGUGGAGCCAAGUCGGGGCUCACCCAUUUGCUCAGGGCCAAAGGGGACCCACCCGUUCACGUGGAUGUACAGACUCGUCCCCUGGCUCUUAUACCAUCUUAAAUUUCAGGUAGACGGGCCAUGUGCCCACUCCAACAACACCGAUACUGUCCCCACUUGGCCAUCUGCUCAAUCCGUCAGGUGUGAGGUUUUAAUACAAAAGGUCUCGAUAUUAGUUAGAGUGGGGUAAUUCUAUAUAAAUGGCUUGUUUUCAAGCCUUCUGGCCGAUGUGGGACAAAAGAAUUCUAACACUUGGUAUCUACACCGUUGAUUUGUACGUUCCAUACAUUUUAAUAACGGCCUGAAAGUUGCCAACUCUCCAUCAAAAUCCAUAGAUUUAUAAAUCUAUUAAAAUUUCUCAAAAUCUCAAUUGAAUUCACUCUCCUAGUUAUUUAAAAUGAAAUUGAAGCCUAAAAAAAUAGGACAACAAUGAAGGAUAAUUUGUAAAUUUGUUUAACUUUUCCUCCAAUAAAUCAAAUAUGCUUUCCUAUAAAAACUAUACAGAUUUGAUCUCACAGCCCAACUAAAACUCAAUCACAUAGCAACUCAGUACCACAGUUUGGUAAUAUUCCUCUCUUGAAAGUGAGAGGUCUUAAGUUUGAAUCUCAUGGAUGACGAAUUCAAUACCAAAUUAAGUUGCUCAUUAUGUAGCUUAGCCGAAUUCAUCCUCCUCCUAAUAUAAAAAUAUCAAUGUACCAAUAAAAAAACAAAACUCGGUCACAUAAACAUGAUUUCCUGAAGGGAAAAUUAGAAUGCCAUACAUCUUUUCAAUAGUUGUUAGAUUAAACAUUCAUCCCUUUUAAAGAUUUUAUUAAGGUGCUUUGAUCAAUUGCCACCUCAAUAAUUUUCUAUUUAUUUAAUUUCCAUGUCAUUAAUUUAAAGGGAGUUUUAACGAAAAGUCCACAAUACUGUUCAUUUUAACGAAAAACCACAUUUUUACACUAAAAAGUCAAACCUGUUACUAUUCACUUUACGCUUUAUUUUGUCCUUAUCAUUAAAACUCAAAGUUUUCAAACCCUUUUCAUUAGUUUUCCUUAAUUUUUUAAAUGCAUUUAUAUAGAGGCAUAAGGUAGCUUAGCAACUAAUUGCCUAUAAUAUAGGAAUUUAAUUUCAUCAAUCCCCUUCUACGCAUUAAAUGACAUUUUUUAAUAAAAUAAAAUAAAAAAUUAAUUAACUAAUUCCUCAUUACCUUAUUAUUAGUAUUUAAAAAAAAAUUCUCUUUCUAUUAAAAAUGUCUCAAUAAAAAGUCUUCAAUACAUAUUUUUUCACAUAUAGAUAUAUAUAAAAAAAUAUACUUAAAACUUAUGGUACAUUUGAGAACAAAAGUAUCGACUUUUGGUAUGUUUAAAUUUCAAAUGUACCGAGAAACCAAAUGUACCAAAUAUUCAAAUGUACCCAUUGUUAUGUAACCCUUUUGGUAUGUUUAGAUUUCAAAUGUACAGAGAAACCAAAUGUACCAAAAUUUCAAAUGUACCAUAAAACCAAAUGUGCCCAUUGUCAAGUAACCAUUUUGGUAUGUUUAGAUUCCAAAUGUACCAAAAGACGAAAUGAAAAAAAAAUCACAAAUGUACCCCAAAACCAAAUGUCUCUAUCAGAUAACCCUUUUGGUACAUUUACAUUCUAAAUGUAGCGAGAAAUACAAAAAAUCAAAUCCACUAUAAAACUAAAUGUGUCCAUAUUAUAGGUAACUAGACGUAGUUAUAUAAUCAAACAAAUCUUUAUCAUGUGUUGGGUCUUCGAAAUAAUAAAAUCUGACAAUUUUUUAUUUUAUAAAUAUUCUACUAUAUUCACAAAAAGAAGUAAAUUUAUACCAAACAAUAAAAAAUUGCAUGAAGAUGGAUAAUAAAUGCAUAAAUAUAGGGAUAAGAGGAAAAGAAAAAAAAAACGAAAUGUCUAGGAAAAGUCAUGAAAAACUAAAAUUCUAAACAAAUUUGAACUUAUGUAAAAAACUGAAAUUAAUAACCAAAAUUUUAGUAAAAUGUUUGAUCAAAUUUUCAAAAGGAAUGUAUAUUUAGUCUAAAAAAUUAAAAAAUAAGGCGCCCAUUUCCUGAAUGAAUGCAUAUGAUUUUUACCUUAAAGAAGUUCACGAAAUCAGCUUGUCAACCUCCUAGUGGUGAGGAUGUGCGUAUGAACAUAGGUUCGAAUGAACUUCCUUGUAAACCAAUCAAAAUAACCAAUCUCCUUCUCAACCUCCUGCAACCAAGACAGAGCCGCCGUCAACAAGCUCAUGAUUUUCUGCCCCAACCCAUCUCUCGGAAACUUUGAUUACGCCGAGAAAGUCUUCCGUUUCAUCAAAGAUCCGUGCUUUUUUGUUUACGAUGUAAUGAUCAAGGCGUUUGCCAAAAGGAGUAGUUUCAGAAGCGCCGUUGAGCUCUUCCGGCGGCUGAGGGAGGAGGGAUUGUGCCCCUAUAAUUUUACCUACCCAUUUGUUUUAAAGCCAUUGGAUGCUUGGGAGAGGUUCGUGAAGGUGAAAAGGUUCAUGUGUUUGUGGUAAAAACUGGAAUUGGGUUUGACAGUAUGUGUGUAACUCGCUCAUUGACAUGAAUGCGUAAUUGGGCAUGGUUGAGAGUUUCAAGCAGGUGUUUGAUGAGACGACGAGAUCGAGUGAUUCGAAAACGAAAAUCAUACUUCUUGAUGAGACGACGAGAAUAAUACAUUUCUCGACGACUAACUCGCCAUCGUUUGGCAGGAAAACGGCUCGAAAAUGGCUAACUCUCAAUCAAAAUCCAUAUAUUUAUACAUCUAUUAAAAUCUCUCAAAAUCUCAAUUGAAUUCACCCUCCUAGUUAUUUAAAGGGAAAUUGAAGCCUAAAAAAAGGACAACAAUGAAAGAUAAUUUGUAAAUUUCUUUAACUUUUCCUCGAAUAACUCAAAUGUGCUUUUUUUAUAAAAACUAUACAGAUUUGAUCUCACAGCCCAACUAAAACUCAAUCACAUAGCAACUCAGUACUACAGUCUGGUGAUAUUCCUCUCUACUUGGAAGUGAGAGGUCUUAAGUUUGAAUCUCGUGGAUGACGAAUUCGAUACCAAAUUAAGUUGCUCAUUUUAUAGCUUAGCCGAACCCCUCAUCCUCUUAAUAUAAAAAUAUCAAUGUACCAAUAAAAAAAAAACAAAAACAAAACUCGGUCACAUAAACAUCUGACUGAAUGCAUAUGAAUGUUUUUUUUUUUUGGAGAACAUGCAUAUGAUUUUUACCUUAAGAAAUUCACAAAAUCAGCUUCUCAACCUCCUAAGGGUGAGGCUGUGCGUAUGAACAUAGGUUCGAGUGAACUUCCUUGUAAACCAAUCAAAAUAACCAAUCUCCUACUCAGCCUCCUGCAACCAAGACAGAGCCGCCGUCAACAAGCUCAUGAUUUUCUGCACCGACCCAUCUCUCAGAAACUUUGAUUUAUGCCGAGAAAGUCUUCCGUUUCAUCAAAGAUCCGUGCUUGUUUGUUUACGAUGUAAUGAUCAAGGCGUUUGCCAAAAGGAGCAGUUUCAGAAGCGCCUUUGAGCUCUUCCGGCGGCUGAGGGAGGAGGCAUUGUGCCCUUAUAAUUUUACCUACCCAUUUGUUUUAAAGCCAUUGGAUGCUUGGGAGAGGUUCGGGAAGGUGAAAGGUUCGUGUGUUUGUAGUAAAAACUGGAAUUGGGUUUGAUGGUAUGUGUGUAACUCGCUCAUUGACAUGAAUGCGUUAUUGGGCAUGGUUGAGAGUUUCAAGCAGGUGUUUGAUGAAAUACCCGAGAGAAACAGGCUUUGUUGGAACUUGGAACGUUACGAUUUCGAGGUAUGUUAGGUGCAGGAGGUUUGAGGAGGCUUUGGAUAUGUUUCGGAGGAUGUCAUGUGAGAGCAACGAGAAGCCCGAUGAAGCUACGGUUGUAACCACCAUUUCAGCUUGAACAGCAUCGAAAACUUUGGAGCUUGGUAAAGAAAUUCAUGAAUAUGUUAGAAGUGAACUUGGAUUCACUACUAGAACUGGAAAUGUGGUUGUUGAAUACGUAUGUAAAACUUUGCAGUUUGGCAUGAAGCCUGAUGAUUUCACCUUCAUUAUUGUCUUAACUGACUGCGUUCACAGAGGGUUGGUAGAUGAGGGUUGUGAGUUCUUCAACUCCAAUAGAAAGAUAUAUGUGAUUGAGCGAGGUUAGAACACUAUGGUUGCCUGAUCGACCUUCUUGGCCGUACCAGACUGUUAGACGAAGCAGAGGAGUUGAUAGAAAGGGUUCCAAGUGAGAUUAUAGUCCCGAUUUCUAUAUGUUUGCAUCCAUGGUCAGUAACUGCACAUUUCAAUCUAAAAUUUUGAUUUAGGACCGAAAAAGUCGAAGUAUGAUGCUAAUAAUUUGGUUCCACAAGAGAAUAUGGAUAUAUGUAAAGCAUACAACAAUUAACAACUGAACAACUAGUCAAUAUCGCAAAUGAAUUGUCAGUAAAAUGAGGAACAAAUCAUCUGUUGGAUGCGAUCAAAUCAAAUGUCCGAAUAAUGGAGCUGGGAAAACUAGAAAGACAGCUGACAUGGUCUGCGGGAGAGUAUAAUGCAGGAAUAGCAACUACUCAACCGAUCUGGCAAUGCUCUCUCUUCAAACCCUUUGCCUUUUCCGUUUGGGUUCAUCUGUAGUAGUCGUCAUUUGAUUAGUGGGAUGAUUAUCAGAUGCGCCAUGGCUUGGUCCCGGACUUGACUCACCAUACAACCAAUCCGGAACUGCUUCAUAGUCGUAUUCAUAGUAAUAAUCACCAAGAUUCUUGUUUUCCUUCAAAGGUUUGUCCCAUACUAGAUUUACCCCUAAUUUCUCCGCUUCAAAACCCUCUAAAAGAAUAACAAUCUUGUCCCCGACUUGCAAAUUGAGCUUGAGCUUAUUGUUCGAUAAUUGUACCUGCCGAAAAUAACCCGCUGUUACUCCCCAAGAAAGCCUAGAGACCCUCGAAGUAGUAUGCUUGGUACAAUUUACAACAGUAAAGGCAACACUUUUAUGUUGGAAUUGCGACCAAACCCAGCAGAGUGUCAACCCUUUAAAAUUACGACCUUGACAUUGAGGAACAUCAAAACUGACUUUAUUGCCGUCAGUGACAAAGUCAAACCACUCCGGAAUACCAUAAAUCUUAUUCAGUAAAAUACCACCAACUCCGCAAGAAGUCCAUCCCUAUAAUAUACAUACAAUGUAAUAUGGUGUCAAAUACUUGUACAUGUGCGGUUGUGUUUGUGCGUGUGAUUGAUAGAGAAAGACAAGAGUAGGAGGAGACAGAGAUAGAGAGAGACCUGUAGGAUGUUGUUCCUAAACUCAGCUGUGAGAUUGGCGCACCCGUACAUAUCAAGCUCCGCCAUGGAGUUUAAUGAUUUACCCAAGCCUAAACCUGGAACCUCAGUGACUUUGGGCGAAUGACUUAGAAACAGUCGUUCCAUGUUUGACAUUUGCGAAAAGUCUGGCAUUGUUUCCAAUGCAGGGCAUAAAAUUGCAUCUAAGACUUUCAAAUUUGUUGGUAAAUCGGGGAUUGCACGAAGAUUUCUGCAAUACCCAAGUCUCAACAUUACGAGAUUUGAAAGACCACUGAGGCUAGGUAGGCUACGAAAACUAUUGCCUCCAACUAUCAACUCUUGUAAAGAAAUUAGACGCCCAAGGUCGUUGGGGAAUUGUUUUAUGGCUGUAAAUUUUGCAUCAAUUUUACUCAAUGAUACCAUCUCCCCUAAGCCCUCAGGCAGUUCUCUUAAUGCACAAAACGACAGACAAAGAGUCUCAACAGAUUUCAACAUAUAGAAUUCCGCUGGAAGAUACCUAAGCUUAUGGCACCAUUGAAAAUCUACCCUAGUGAGUUUUUUAAGUUGACUGAUGGAUGGGUGAAUCUUGGACAAACUAGAACAGCCUGAAAAAUUCAAUUCUCCGAGAUUUGGGAGCAUUGAAAAGUCUGGUGACUUUUUUAACUUCCAGGAACAAGCAAGAUCAAGGAUUUUCAAAUUUUCGAGCGGCUGCACAAACCCACAAGAAAAUCUUAUUCAAAAUCCAAGAAGAAUAUGGCUUAAAAAUAAAAUCAGAGUGAGAAUUAAUUCUAACCCGCUAGGGGUGAUUGUACCUUGGAAUUCUUCCAGCCUUUUCUGAGUUUGCUGAACCGCAGGUCAAGAGCAACAAGUUUUGGCUGAUUAAGAAGGUGCUCCGGCAUGUACUCGAAAGGGAAUCCAUGCCAGCCCAACCAUCUCAACUCUUUCGGAAAAUGUUUGAAGCUUCCAGUAAACUCUACAUUGUUGAGCCGUAGCAAUCUCAGUUUUUUCAUAUUGACAAAUGCUUUUGUACUGAAACUAGCCUUUGUUUUAGAGCUUGGCAACUGUAGAGAAAGUGCUUCAAUUUCUUCAGUUCCCUGUUAGGUAUACAAAAGGACAUAUGAUGAAGGUUGAAGUGCCAAAGUCUUUGAAUUAUCAUCUCAGUGAAAAUUAGGUUUCCGAAUUUUUUUUUUUGGUAAAAUAAGUCCCUAAAUUCAUUAAAAAUUUCUAAUUCCAUCCGUACUAUUAUAUUCAAAACUAAUUUAUCUAUUUUUUCUUCAACUUAAGUCACUUGAAACACUUUAGAAUGUACUAUCGUCAUUUUCUCGCCGGUAAGCCUUUUACAUUUCAUAUAGGUUGCGAAUCUAACAUCUAAUUUACCCUCCACAGUUAACUUACAUUAUUUCUUAUGUAAAACUACCAAUUUACCCAUCAAAGUUAACUUUAUACACUAUUUCUUUAUGAAAAACUACUAAUCUAUCCUCCAAUGUGUAUCGCAUAUAAGUAACGUGACUUAAAUUGACGGAAAUUUGAAUAUAGUAGCUUCAAAUAUAAUAUUAGAGAUGUAAUUGGCAGAUUUUUAUAAUUUAAGGACUUAUUUUUCUGAAAAAAUAGUUUAGGGACCUAAUUUCCACUGAGGUGAUAAUUCAUGGACUAAAUUGACAGUUCACCCUAUGAUGAAUAAUAAAAGGGUAAUUUGCGUCAGAAAAAUGAUUUACUUGCAAACAAUUGUCAUAUAAUCGGUUGGAAAUCGAUUUAAUUGCUUCUAUUUCCACGUCAAGGUUUAUUGUACUUAUAAAUAUAUUUCUACAUAAUAUUAUAAAAAGAAAACGAAUAAAAAGGAUUUGAAAACUUUGAGUUUUAAUGAUAAUGACAAAAUAAAUAGUAAUAAAUAGUAGCAGUAUUGACUUUUUAGUGUAAAAAUGUGAUUUUUUGUUAAAAUAAACAGUACCGGUAGUUUUUCGUUAAAAUUUCUUAUUAUAAAAUGUAAGCAGUUGCACUAGGAUAUGAUUUAGUGAGCAUUAAUAUUAAACUUUAUUGAGAAACUACUUACAGAUUUAUUUGUCAACACGUCUGUUAUGGCUUCAAAAUUCCACGGUCUACUCCAUCUUCCAGGUUGAGUAGGAGAUUUUUCAGAAAUGAUUGUCUUGCCCAUUUCUCGAAUCAAAUCAUGCAUCUUUAGUUUGCCCCAUUCAAUAGUUAUAAGGCACCGUUCAUUGAGAACACUGAUUUCGUUUGUUGCAUAGAAGCCACAUUCAUCCAAUAUUUUUGUGACAUGAUCCUUCUCCAAACCAAGAAAGCAACAAGAUAUAUCAAGGAAUAUAGUUUUUUGAUUAUAAUCUAACCCAUGAAAGCCUAUUUUGAGCUUUUCUAUAAUUUCUCCUUCAGGUAUUCUUUUUAAUUUCUCCAAAUAGCUUUGCCACUCUGUUAUGGGUCUACCAAAAAGAGUGGAGCCUAAAACUUUGAGUGCUAACGGCAAACCUCCACAGUAAGAAACUACCUUCUUUGAUAAUUCAAAAUAUUCUUCUUUAGGGCAAUUAUUUUCAAAUGUAUACCAACUGAAAAGCUCAAGAGCCUCCUCUUCAUUCAUUUCCUUGGCUGGAUAUCUCAUAUUCACUCUCACUUGAUUUAGCAAAUGUUGAUCUCUUGUUGUUAUGAUAAUUAUACUUCCUGGACCAAACCACUCACGAUCUCCAGCUAUUGCACUUAGGGCUGGUUUGGUAUUGCUGUGCUUUGAAAAAAAGCUGCUGUGAGAAUAAGCGGCUGUGCUGUG